This 63-nucleotide transfer RNA is filed under the name Carrhotus xanthogramma. RNAcentral's name for it is "tRNA-Gln". Lineage: Eukaryota; Metazoa; Arthropoda; Arachnida; Araneae; Salticidae. The record is from RNAcentral.
UUUAUUAAGGUGUCCUUGCACAUGAAGAUUUGAUUUUCAGGGAGAUGUUAACAUCUAAUAUAA